Molecule: ribosomal RNA, 702 nt
Filed under: Mycobacterium sp.
Lineage: Bacteria; Bacillati; Actinomycetota; Actinomycetes; Mycobacteriales; Mycobacteriaceae
Description: bacterial SSU rRNA
Rfam family: Bacterial small subunit ribosomal RNA
Source: RNAcentral
ACGUGGGUGAUCUGCCCUGCACUUUGGGAUAAGCCUGGGAAACUGGGUCUAAUACCGAAUAUGACCGCAUGCUUCAUGGUGUGUGGUGGAAAGCUUUUGCGGUGUGGGAUGGGCCCGCGGCCUAUCAGCUUGUUGGUGGGGUAAUGGCCUACCAAGGCGACGACGGGUAGCCGGCCUGAGAGGGUGUCCGGCCACACUGGGACUGAGAUACGGCCCAGACUCCUACGGGAGGCAGCAGUGGGGAAUAUUGCACAAUGGGCGCAAGCCUGAUGCAGCGACGCCGCGUGAGGGAUGACGGCCUUCGGGUUGUAAACCUCUUUCAGCAGGGACGAAGCGCAAGUGACGGUACCUGUAGAAGAAGCACCGGCCAACUACGUGCCAGCAGCCGCGGUAAUACGUAGGGUGCGAGCGUUGUCCGGAAUUACUGGGCGUAAAGAGCUCGUAGGUGGUUUGUCGCGUUGUUCGUGAAAACUCACAGCUCAACUGUGGGCGUGCGGGCGAUACGGGCAGACUUGAGUACUGCAGGGGAGACUGGAAUUCCUGGUGUAGCGGUGGAAUGCGCAGAUAUCAGGAGGAACACCGGUGGCGAAGGCGGGUCUCUGGGCAGUAACUGACGCUGAGGAGCGAAAGCGUGGGGAGCGAACAGGAUUAGAUACCCUGGUAGUCCACGCCGUAAACGGUGGGUACUAGGUGUGGGUUUCC